UUCCUGAUGGCUCAGAUGGUAAAGAACCUGCCUGCAAUGCAGGAGACCUGGGUUUGAUCCCCGAUCUGAAGA
This 72-nucleotide transfer RNA is filed under the name Ovis aries (sheep). It matches the Rfam family "tRNA". Rfam says of the family: Transfer RNA (tRNA) molecules are approximately 80 nucleotides in length. Lineage: Eukaryota; Metazoa; Chordata; Mammalia; Artiodactyla; Bovidae. The record is from Rfam by way of RNAcentral.